GCAAGUCGAACGAUGAAGCUGGAGCUUGCUCUAGUGGAUUAGUGGCGAACGGGUGAGUAACACGUGAGCAAUCUGCCCUUGACUCUGGGAUAACUGCGGGAAACUGUAGCUAAUACCGGAUACGACACCUUGGGGCAUCCCGAGGUGUGGAAAGAAUUUCGGUCAAGGAUGAGCUCGCGGCCUAUCAGCUUGUUGGUGAGGUAAAAGCUCACCAAGGCGACGACGGGUAGCCGGCCUGAGAGGGUGACCGGCCACACUGGAACUGAGAUACGGUCCAGACUCCUACGGGAGGCAGCAGUGGGGAAUAUUGCACAAUGGGCGAAAGCCUGAUGCAGCAACGCCGCGUGAGGGAUGAAGGCCUUCGGGUUGUAAACCUCUUUUAUCAGGGAAGAAGCGAAAGUGACGGUACCUGAAGAAAAAGCACCGGCUAACUACGUGCCAGCAGCCGCGGUAAUACGUAGGGUGCAAGCGUUGUCCGGAAUUAUUGGGCGUAAAGAGCUCGUAGGCGGUUUGUCGCGUCUGCUGUGAAAAUCCAAGGCUCAACCUUGGACCUGCAGUGGGUACGGGCAGACUAGAGUGCGGUAGGGGAGAUGGGAAUUCCUGGUGUAGCGGUGGAAUGCGCAGAUAUCAGGAGGAACACCAAUGGCGAAGGCACAUCUCUGGGCCGUAACUGACGCUGAGGAGCGAAAGCGUGGGGAGCGAACAGGAUUAGAUACCCUGGUAGUCCACGCCGUAAACGGUGGGUGCUAGUUGUGGGCCACAUUCCACGUGGUCCGUGACGAAGUUAACACAUUAAGCACCCCGCCUGGGGAGUACGGUCGCAAGACUAAAACUCAAAGGAAUUGACGGGGGCCCGCACAAGCGGCGGAGCAUGCGGAUUAAU
This 883-nucleotide ribosomal RNA is filed under the name uncultured Microbacteriaceae bacterium. RNAcentral describes it as "bacterial SSU rRNA". It matches the Rfam family "Bacterial small subunit ribosomal RNA", at positions 57 to 950 of the family's 1533-position model. The record is from RNAcentral. Lineage: Bacteria; Bacillati; Actinomycetota; Actinomycetes; Micrococcales; Microbacteriaceae.